RNAcentral lists this ribosomal RNA (505 nucleotides) under uncultured bacterium. RNAcentral's name for it is "partial 16S ribosomal RNA". It matches the Rfam family "Bacterial small subunit ribosomal RNA", at positions 28 to 507 of the family's 1533-position model. The record is from RNAcentral.
GACGAACGCUGGCGGCGUGCCUAAUACAUGCAAGUAGAACGCACAGUUUAUACCGUAGCUUGCUACACCAUAGACUGUGAGUUGCGAACGGGUGAGUAACGCGUAGGUAACCUGCCUGGUAGCGGGGGAUAACUAUUGGAAACGAUAGCUAAUACCGCAUAAUAUUAAUUAUUGCAUGAUAAUUGAUUGAAAGAUGCAACUGCAUCACUACCAGAUGGACCUGCGUUGUAUUAGCUAGUAGGUGAGGUAACGGCUCACCUAGGCGACGAUACAUAGCCGACCUGAGAGGGUGAUCGGCCACACUGGGACUGAGACACGGCCCAGACUCCUACGGGAGGCAGCAGUAGGGAAUCUUCGGCAAUGGACGAAAGUCUGACCGAGCAACGCUGCGUGAGUGAAGAAGGUUUUCGGAUCGUAAAGCUCUGUUGUAAGAGAAGAACGGGUGUGAGAGUGGAAAGUUCACACUGUGACGGUAUCUUACCAGAAAGGGACGGCUAACUACGUG